GUGAGUCGUACUCGCUAAAACGCAUACUGAGUGUUACGAGUACGAGUACGCCGAGAGACGCGCUCCAAAGACUAGCUCCACGAGUAUUUAGAAGUACGAGCCAUUAGGACCUAUAGAAUAGAUACGUACUCCUAAAUACUCAGUGGCCAGCGAUUUUACGUCAUAUUAUCUGAUACUAAGCGUACAUUAAUUUCAAACAAGUUUUACGUAGUCAUUUGGACUAUAAUAGUGGUAUGUACGCAAGGUACAAAAAAAUUGAAUCCUGAGUUCGAUCCCGGGUAACAGAAAUCAUUUUUGUCUUUUUAUUUUGUUUUUUUCAAUUGGUUUCUUCAACUAUUUUUGGUUUUUGUAAUCCACAAAAAAAAAGAAAAAAAUUUGCAAACAAAAAUAUUUCAGUCAUUAAUUUCAAAAUUUCAAUUUUAUUUUAUUAUUUAGUUAUUUCUUUUAAUAUUACCUCAUGAUACUGUCGGGUUACAUUAACUUGUUACUUUAGCAGAUAAAUAAUCAUACUAAAACAAAUAAACAUUAUGUUUUUAAAAUAAGGAUUAAAAUCAGGGACUCCAAAUAUUGGAGUAUUAAGAGUAUUAAGUGUAUACUGCGUUAAAAAAUCGGUCUUAUGUUUGAUAAAGUAAAGACAAUUUUUCAUCGGCAAUGGGACGUCACUCACACAUUCUUAAACGAACGCGUCCGGGAACGCGUCUCGCGAUGUUUUGUCUGUUGGAGUAUGAAGUGUUUAUUGCGUUGAAAAACCGGUCUUAUGUCUAGACAACAAAGUCUAUUUUCUUUCGGCAUUGAUAGAAGCAGGCCGGGUCAACUCUCGAACAAAGUUUGGUUAUACCUACGGGGGCUAGACCUGUGGUGUCAUCAUCCAUACGGUUCUACCGUCUGGUAGUUGUAGCAAUAUUAUUAUCGUUAGUAGCUCACGCCUGACAUAAUAUUUUGAUAAAUCUAAUACAUUUUUAGAUUUAAAUAUGACUUUAAUAACUCAAUAAAUACUUUUCUUCUACAAAAAUAUAGAGAGACACUCUCGUUGAAUAUUGUUUUAGUAACGUAUGGGUAAGAUUUUCUAAACGAAGUGUGGCAACCCCAAUUACUUAAUAAAAAAUAAGACUUUGUUAGUUCAAGUGUCUCUAUAACUAUGAAGAAGAACAAAAGAAAAUGCUUUGAGUGUGGUUCUUCGCCUGCCGAUGAUACAGAGAAGACCCUACAGAGAUUACAGAAAUUUGAUUCUACAAAUUUAGUCUCCGUAAUGUCCAGAUAAUCAAUGAUUAGACUAUUGGACUUUUAGAAUAAAUUUUACAUUGAACUAUGAAUGGUUUGUCAUCUACAUUUUUAAAAAAGACGAGAUGUUUUGCCUGUAAGAACAAGAGAGAGAGAGAAUAAGAAGCAAUCCUGCUUCUUCACAUGAAUUUUACCCGCAUGACGACGGUUUUUAAUAUAAAAAAUAUUUACACAAUGUCUCAAAAAGCAAUCAAAGCUUUCAAAAAUGAACAAUGUUCGCAGAAGUUCAGUACCAACAAACUCACAAAAAAUGAGCCCAAAAUUUAGCAUUACUUGCAAGCCAGACUAAGAAAUUUCAAGAAGAUAAUUUAAAAGAAGACAAUAGAAUAAAAUAAUAUUAAAACACAAUGCUUAGCAAAUAUAGCAUUAACAGAUGGAAACCAGGCAAUAGGUAUGUUAAAAUAGGUUAUGUUUCAUAGAAGCUAUUUUAAUCCUACACAUCCAUCAUUUAUCAUUGUCUCCAUAUAGUAGAGGAGGUAUGGAGCUGAGACCCACCACACUGCUCCAAUGCUGUUGGUGGGCUUAGGGUGAUAAUGUUCAAUUAAUUAAUUACCACUAUCUGAUGCUAAUGUUAAUAAUCGGGAUUAAAGGUUUCCCAACUUCAGGAUGAGAAUUUAACUGAUUUUUUUUUACAUUUUUCAUAAUCUAUUCUUCACAUUUUUCACUUAAUAAAAUUCUUUUAGUUUUUGUUUGUUUUUAACUGGUGAAAAUAUGUGAAAUUUUGCUAUCGGCUUCCCAACUCCAAGAUGAGAAUUUGACUGAAUUUUUUUUUACAUUUUUAACCGAUUUUAAAAAAGAAGGAGGUUCUCAAUUCGAGUCUAUGUUUUUUUGUUCAUAAUCUAUUCUUCACAUUUUUCACUUAAUAAAAUUCUUUUAGUUUUUAUUUGUUUUUUAACUGGUGAAAAUACAUAAAAUUUAUUCUUUAUGUUUAAAUUUUCAGGUGUAGCAAAAUAGAAGAUGAAGGUCUAGCUGUGCCAGUCAGUGCUGAGCCACACAGUUGCUGCUGGCAUGUUUGCAAAAUAGCACAAGGUGUAGCAAAAUAGAAGAUGAAGGUCUAGCUGUGCCAGUCAGUGCUGAGCCACACAGUUGCUGCUGGCAUGUUUGCUAAAUAGCACAAGGUGUAGCAAAAUAGAAGAUGAAGGUCUAGCUGUGCCAGUCAGUGCUGAGCCACACAGUUGCUGCUGGCAUGUUUGCAAAAUAGCACAAGGUGUAGCAAAAUAGAAGAUGAAGGUCUAGCUGUGCCAGUCAGUGCUGAGUCACACAGUUGCUGCUGGCAUGUUUGCAAAAUAGCACAAGGUGUAGCAAAAUAGAAGAUGAAGGUCUAGCUGUGCCAGUCAGUGCUGAGCCACACAGUUGCUGCUGGCAUGUUUGCAAUAUAGCACAAGGUGCUGUAAAAUGAAGAUAUAUUGUUAAAUAUCAUGAGAUAGAAAUAAAAGAUGAAGGUCUAGCUGUACCCGUCCCGAGCCACACUACUGCAGCCACGUUGCUGCUGGCAUUUUUGCAAAAUAGCACAAGAUCACAACAAUUGAUGUAACAAAUAUAAUCAAUGGACCAGGCACCUGCACCAUGAUUCUUUGGAAUACUAAAAUUCGUCUCUUUAUAUCUGUACUUCUCAUAAUGAAAAAUGUCACGUUUUUAUGAAAGAAAUAAUGGAAUCAAAUAAUAAAUAAAACAAGCAUAUGCUGGAAGUCCUCAGAAACAGCUCCGACUUUGAUGAUUUUUUUUAAAGUCAUGUUUUUUAUGUUAUUUAAAAUCAGAAAUGUUUUGGUGGACGAAAUUAUUUAAAUUGUUAAAAAAUAUCCAUGCUAUUUAUACAUAUUUUUUUUUUAAAUACAACCGACUUCAAAAAUACAAACUUAUGCAGAAAACUAACAAACGAAAGAAAAUAUUAUAAUAUUUUCUAUCUAUUGAUCACUUUGAAGGCGGUGCCAAUGUUCCAAUUAAUGGGCCGACAAUUAGUUAUCUAUUGUUUACUAGCUAUAGGGCUCGAAUUGCUUUUUCAUAUCUUUAAAAGACUAUCUUCGGAAUGAACCCUUUAUAAUAAAAAAGUAUUAUCAAAGUCGGACCACUCAAUAAAAAGUUAUACUUGGUUGUAUACUAAAAUUAAUGGUUAAACAAUCAAUCAUCCCCUGUUUUCGUAAUGUAAAACCAAGAAUAACUGUUAACAUGGGUAGUCCGAUUUUGAUAAUUCUUUUGAUUGAUCAUUCUUGAUUGUUUUAGUUUAAAACCAAGCAUGUCUUCGAAUUCCGAUUUGAAUAACUUUGUUUUAAAUAGAAAGAGUAUAUUCCGACAAUGGUCCCAAAUCAUUAUAAAUUUUAAAAAAACGAAGAUGACUGGUUAUUUUCCCAUUAAUUGUAUUGUAAAACUAUGCGUAACUUAUUACGAAGUGGUCCGAUUUCGUAAAUUCUUUAUAGAUUGUAAAGGUAUUUUGAUUGUAAAGCUCCCAUAUAAAUUUUAAAAAACAAUUCCAAUCCUAAAUGUGCGAUUGAUUGUUUUCUCAUUCAUUUUAAUGUAAAACCAAGCAUAACUUUUUAUUGGGUGGUUCGAUUUUGAUUAUUCUUUUUUGAUAGAAAGGGUAUAUUCCUAAAAGUCUCAUAAAAUGUUGGAAAACAAUUUCAAACCUAAUAGUAGGAAAAUAGAAGAUGAUUAAUUGUUUUCCCAUUUAUUGUAAUGUUAAACUAUGCGUAACUUUUUACUGAGUGGACUGAUUUUGAAAAUUCUUUACUUUUUGUAAAGGGUUUAUUUCGAAGUAGGUCCCAUAUAAAUUUCGGAAAACAAUUCGAAUCCUUAAGGUGGAAAAAAACUGUACGAUUGAUUGCCUACCCAUUAAUUGUACAAUUGGCACCGGCUUCAAAGUAAUCAGUAGAUAGAAAGUAUUAUAAUGUUUUCUUCAGCUUAUUAGUUUACUGCAUAACUUUGUGUUUUUGAAGUCGGUAGUGUUUGUUUUUUAAUUAUUUAUUAUAUAAAUAGCAUAACUAUUGUUGAAUAGUAUAAAUCGUUCCAUCCUCACUCCAAAAUGGAUCUGAUGUCAAAUAAUAUGAAGAAACAAACUGAACAAAAAUAAUCAUCAAAAUCAGAGCUGUUUCUGAGGAAGUAGAGGGUAAAUGCUCUAUUGAUUCGCCUAAAAGUAAUAUUAUGAUUUUUUAUCGCAUUAGGUUGUAAAGUUCGGCUAGUGAAAGUAGAGACUGAAAUUGCCCGCCAAAUUUAAAAAUCAUAUAAACAAAGUAAAAAAACAUGCGUUUUCAUAAUUUACUUAAAUUAGUUUUUAUUUGUGAAUACAUUAUUACCUAUACUAUAAGUGUUAAACUCCGUUAUUCCAAUAUUUGCACUAUAAUUUUGAGAAUUUACUCCGAUUUUUUAAAAUUUGGCGGGUGAUUUCAGUUUCUACUUUCAUUAGCCAAAUUCUAAUAAUUUUAUUGUUUAUGAAAUUUAUACUAAUUAGAAAGAGGAAGAAUUUGAUUAUUUGUUUGUUUGCAUUGAAUAGGCUCUGAAACUACUUUGCUGAUUUAAAAAUUUCUUACAGCAUUAUAAUCAUGGAUUAGGCCAUAAUUGUUAUCUCUGUAUUCCCACGGGAACGAGAACUACGCUGGUGAAACUGCGUGACGUUUGCAUAGUUUAUCAUAUGUACAAAUAUCCCGACAAUCUAUAUUUUUAUGUAUGAAUUGGUUAAGUCAUAAUUGACUUGAUUUUCCCAAAUAUGUCAGUGAAGUCACCCAAUUGAUGCAUAGAUAUAUUUUUAUUUUGGUUUUCAUUUUACUUUAAAGAUAAAAUUUGGUUUUAGAAGCAAAAUAAAUAUAUGUAGAUUACAUUUUAGGUGCUGAUGUUUACUUAGUUAUUGAUUAAGUGCAUAAGAUUUUUUAUUUGAUAAUAAAGACAUUUCAAC
Bicyclus anynana (squinting bush brown) is the source of this 5164-nucleotide long non-coding RNA. RefSeq lists it as uncharacterized. NCBI's taxonomy places the organism in Eukaryota, Metazoa, Arthropoda, Insecta, Lepidoptera, Nymphalidae. The transcript has 9 exons. The record is from RefSeq and is a predicted model, not a curated record.